AGAGUUUGAUCCUGGCUCAGAACGUACGCUGGCGGCACGCCUAACACAUGCAAGUCGAACGAAGUAGCAAUACUUAGUGGCAGACGGGUGAGUAACAUGUAGGUAUCUGCCCUUUGGCCUGGAAUAACACGAGGAAACUUGUGCUAAUACUGGAUAAGUCUUUACGGAGAAAGCUUUAUGCACCAUUGGAUGAGCCUGCACUUGAUUAGUUUGUUGGUAGGGUAAUGGCCUACCAAGACUUUGAUCAAUAGCUGAUUUGAGAGGAUGAUCAGCCACAUUGGGACUGAGACACGGCCCAAACUCCUACGGGAGGCAGCAGUGGGGAAUCUUGCACAAUGGAGGAAACUCUGAUGCAGCGAUGCCGCGUGAGUGAAGAAGGCCCUUGGGUUGUAAAGCUCUUUCGUCGGGGAAGAAAAUGACUGUACCCGAAUAAGAAGGUCCGGCUAACUUCGUGCCAGCAGCCGCGGUAAUACGAAGGGACCUAGCGUAGUUCGGAAUUACUGGGCUUAAAGAGUUCGUAGGUGGUUGAAAAAGUUGGUGGUGAAAUCCCAGAGCUUAACUCUGGAACUGCCAUCAAAACUUUUCAGCUAGAGUUGAUAGAGGAAAGCAGAAUUUCUAGUGUAGAGGUGAAAUUCGUAGAUAUUAGAAAGAAUACCAAUUGCGAAGGCAGCUUUCUGGAUCAUUACUGACACUGAGGAACGAAAGCAUGGGUAGCGAAGAGGAUUAGAUACCCUCGUAGUCCAUGCCGUAAACGAUGUGUGUUAGACGUUGGAAAUUUAUUUUCAGUGUCGCAGCGAAAGCGAUAAACACACCGCCUGGGGAGUACGACCGCAAGGUUAAAACUCAAAUGAAUUGACGGGGACCCGCACAAGUAGUGGAGCAUGUGGUUUAAUUCGAAGAUACGCGCAGAACCUUACCAACACUUGACAUGUUCGUCGCGACUUUAAGAGAUUAAAGUUUUCGGUUCGGCCGGACGAAACACAGGUGCUGCAUGGCUGUCGUCAGCUCGUGUCGUGAGAUGUUGGGUUAAGUCCCGCAACGAGCGCAACCCUCACUUUUAGUUGCCAUCAUUAAGUUGGGCACUCUGAAAGAACUGCCAGUGAUAAGCUGGAGGAAGGUGGGGAUGACGUCAAGUCCUCAUGGCCCUUACGUGUUGGGCUACACACGUGCUACAAUGGUAUCUACAACAGGAAGCGAAACGGCGACGUUAAGCAAAUCCUUAAAAGAUACCUCAGUUCGGAUUGUACUCUGCAACUCGAGUACAUGAAGCUGGAAUUACUAGUAAUCGUGGAUCAGCGUGCCACGGUGAAUGCGUUCCCGGGUCUUGUACACACCGCCCGUCACACCAUGGGAGUUGGUUCUACCUUAAGGCAAGGUUUAAAACCCUUGACCACGGUAUAGUCGGCGACUGGGGUGAAGUCAUAACAAGGUAGCCGUA
RNAcentral lists this ribosomal RNA (1438 nucleotides) under uncultured bacterium. RNAcentral's name for it is "bacterial SSU rRNA". It matches the Rfam family "Bacterial small subunit ribosomal RNA". The record is from RNAcentral.